Molecule: ribosomal RNA, 461 nt
Filed under: uncultured bacterium
Lineage: Bacteria
Description: SSU rRNA
Rfam family: Bacterial small subunit ribosomal RNA
Source: RNAcentral
AGAAUCAACGCUGGCGGCGUGCCUAACACAUGCAAGUCGCACGAGAAAGGGGAGCAAUCCCUGAGUACAGUGGCGCACGGGUGAGUAACACGUGAAUCAUCUACCUCCGAGUGGGGGAAUAACUGAGAGAAAUCUUAGCUAAUACCGCAUAACACUUACGAGUCAAAGCAGCAAUGCGCUUGGAGAGGAGUUCGCGGCAGAUUAGUUAGUUGGCGGGGUAAUGGCCCACCAAGACGAUGAUCUGUAUCCGGCCUGAGAGGGUGCACGGACACACUGGAACUGAAACACGGUCCAGACUCCUACGGGAGGCAGCAGUGGGGAAUUUUGCGCAAUGGGGGAAACCCUGACGCAGCAACGCCGCGUGGAGGAUGAAGCCCCUUGGGGUGUAAACUCCUUUCGAUCGGGAAGAUAAUGACGGUACCGAUAUAAGAAGCCCCGGCUAACUUCGCGCCAGCAGCCGC